GACGAACGCUGGCGGCGUGCCUAAUACAUGCAAGUCGAACGCUUCUUUCCUCCCGAGUGCUUGCACUCAAUUGGAAAGAGGAGUGGCGGACGGGUGAGUAACACGUGGGUAACCUACCCAUCAGAGGGGGAUAACACUUGGAAACAGGUGCUAAUACCGCAUAACAGUUUAUGCCGCAUGGCAUAAGAGUGAAAGGCGCUUUCGGGUGUCGCUGAUGGAUGGACCCGCGGUGCAUUAGCUAGUUGGUGAGGUAACGGCUCACCAAGGCCACGAUGCAUAGCCCACCUGGGGGGGGUAUCGGCCAACCUGGGAAUGGAACAGGGCCCAAACCCCUACGGGGGGGAGGAGGAGGGAAUUUUCGGGAAGGGAAGAAAGUCUGACCGGGCAACGCCGGGGGAGUGAAAAAGGUUUUCGGAUCGAAAAACUCUUUUUUUAGAGAAGAAAAAGGACGUUAGUAACUGAACGUCCCCUGACGGUAUUAACCCAGAAAGCCACGGCUAACUACGU
Molecule: ribosomal RNA, 507 nt
Filed under: uncultured bacterium
Lineage: Bacteria
Description: partial 16S ribosomal RNA
Rfam family: Bacterial small subunit ribosomal RNA
Source: RNAcentral